GACGAACGCUGGCGGCGUGCUUAACACAUGCAAGUCGAGCGGUAAGGCCCUUUCGGGGGUACGACGAGCGGCGAACGGGUGAGUAACACGUGGGUGACCUGCCCUCAGCUCGUGGGAUAAGCCUGGGAAACCGGGUCUAAUACUGGAUAUGACUCCCAUGACGCAUGUUGUGGGGUGGAAAGCCUUGUGCGGCUGAGGAU
This 200-nucleotide ribosomal RNA is filed under the name uncultured bacterium. Its description in RNAcentral is "partial 16S ribosomal RNA". It matches the Rfam family "Bacterial small subunit ribosomal RNA", at positions 28 to 226 of the family's 1533-position model. The record is from RNAcentral.